RNAcentral lists this unclassified non-coding RNA (251 nucleotides) under uncultured Mortierella. Its description in RNAcentral is "sequence contains ITS2". Lineage: Eukaryota; Fungi; Mortierellomycota; Mortierellomycetes; Mortierellales; Mortierellaceae. The record is from RNAcentral.
AAAACCCUCAACUCCACCCCUUUUCGGGGGGUGUGUGUGUUGGAUUUGAGCAUGUCCACCAAAAGAGCCACAUUUUUGGUUCAUGGAGGAUGCUUGAAAUUUGAGGUUCGGCCGGCAUAUUGCCUGGGCUACAAGCAUUUCAUACUUAAUCCCGUCAAACGGAUUAUAUCCUUUGCUGCAGCCAACAUAUACAGGGUAACUGUCAGGGUCCGACUGAUGCAGGAAAAGUUGAGAUUCUCGGUCUCUUCUAA